This 735-nucleotide ribosomal RNA is filed under the name Pseudomonas fluorescens. RNAcentral describes it as "bacterial SSU rRNA". It matches the Rfam family "Bacterial small subunit ribosomal RNA", at positions 35 to 763 of the family's 1533-position model. The record is from RNAcentral. Lineage: Bacteria; Pseudomonadati; Pseudomonadota; Gammaproteobacteria; Pseudomonadales; Pseudomonadaceae.
GCUGGCGGCAGGCCUAACACAUGCAAGUCGAGCGGAUGAAGGGGAGCUUGCUCCUGGAUUCAGCGGCGGACGGGUGAGUAAUGCCUAGGAAUCUGCCUGGUAGUGGGGGAUAAACGUCCGGAAACGGGCGCUAAUACCGCAUACGUCCUGAGGGAGAAAGUGGGGGAUCUUCGGACCUCACGCUAUCAGAUGAGCCUAGGUCGGAUUAGCUAGUUGGUGGGGUAAAGGCCUACCAAGGCGACGAUCCGUAACUGGUCUGAGAGGAUGAUCAGUCACACUGGAACUGAGACACGGUCCAGACUCCUACGGGAGGCAGCAGUGGGGAAUAUUGGACAAUGGGCGAAAGCCUGAUCCAGCCAUGCCGCGUGUGUGAAGAAGGUCUUCGGAUUGUAAAGCACUUUAAGUUGGGAGGAAGGGCAGUAAGUUAAUACCUUGCUGUUUUGACGUUACCAACAGAAUAAGCACCGGCUAACUUCGUGCCAGCAGCCGCGGUAAUACGAAGGGUGCAAGCGUUAAUCGGAAUUACUGGGCGUAAAGCGCGCGUAGGUGGUUCAGCAAGUUGGAUGUGAAAUCCCCGGGCUCAACCUGGGAACUGCAUCCAAAACUACUGAGCUAGAGUACGGUAGAGGGUGGUGGAAUUUCCUGUGUAGCGGUGAAAUGCGUAGAUAUAGGAAGGAACACCAGUGGCGAAGGCGACCACCUGGACUGAUACUGACACUGAGGUGCGAAAGCGUG